GACGAACGUUGGCGGCGUGCUUAACACAUGCAAGUCGAACGGAAAGGCCCUGCUUUUGUGGGGUGCUCGAGUGGCGAACGGGUGAGUAACACGUGAGUAACCUGCCCUUGACUUUGGGAUAACUUCAGGAAACUGGGGCUAAUACCGGAUAGGAGCUCCUGCUGCAUGGUGGGGGUUGGAAAGUUUCGGCGGUUGGGGAUGGACUCGCGGCUUAUCAGCUUGUUGGUGGGGUAGUGGCUUACCAAGGCUUUGACGGGUAGCCGGCCUGAGAGGGUGACCGGCCACAUUGGGACUGAGAUACGGCCCAGACUCCUACGGGAGGCAGCAGUGGGGAAUAUUGCACAAUGGGCGGAAGCCUGAUGCAGCAACGCCGCGUGCGGGAUGACGGCCUUCGGGUUGUAAACCGCUUUCGCCUGUGACGAAGCGUGAGUGACGGUAAUGGGUAAAGAAGCACCGGCUAACUACGUGCCAGCAGCCGCGGUGAUACGUAGGGUGCGAGCGUUGUCCGGAUUUAUUGGGCGUAAAGGGCUCGUAGGUGGUUGAUCGCGUCGGAAGUGUAAUCUUGGGGCUUAACCCUGAGCGUGCUUUCGAUACGGGUUGACUUGAGGAAAGGUAGGGGAGAAUGGAAUUCCUGGUGGAGCGGUGGAAUGCGCAGAUAUCAGGAGGAACACCAGUGGCGAAGGCGGUUCUCUGGGCCUUUCCUGACGCUGAGGAGCGAAAGCGUGGGGAGCGAACAGGCUUAGAUACCCUGGUAGUCCACGCUGUAAACGGUGGGUACUAGGUGUGGGGUCCAUUCCACGGGUUCCGUGCCGUAGCUAACGCUUUAAGUACCCCGCCUGGGGAGUACGGCCGCAAGGCUAAAACUCAAAGGAAUUGACGGGGCCCCGCACAAGCGGCGGAGCAUGCGGAUUAAUUCGAUGCAACGCGUAGAACCUUACCUGGGUUUGACAUGGAUCGGGAGUGCUCAGAGAUGGGUGUGCCUCUUUUGGGGUCGGUUCACAGGUGGUGCAUGGCUGUCGUCAGCUCGUGUCGUGAGAUGUUGGGUUAAGUCCCGCAACGAGCGCAACCCUUGUUCACUGUUGCCAGCACGUUAUGGUGGGGACUCAGUGGAGACCGCCGGGGUCAACUCGGAGGAAGGUGGGGAUGACGUCAAGUCAUCAUGCCCCUUAUGUCCAGGGCUUCACGCAUGCUACAAUGGCUGGUACAGAGAGUGGCGAGCCUGUGAGGGUGAGCGAAUCUCGGAAAGCCGGUCUCAGUUCGGAUUGGGGUCUGCAACUCGACCUCAUGAAGUCGGAGUCGCUAGUAAUCGCAGAUCAGCAACGCUGCGGUGAAUACGUUCCCGGG
RNAcentral lists this ribosomal RNA (1344 nucleotides) under uncultured bacterium. RNAcentral describes it as "16S ribosomal RNA". It matches the Rfam family "Bacterial small subunit ribosomal RNA", at positions 28 to 1378 of the family's 1533-position model. The record is from RNAcentral.